This 492-nucleotide ribosomal RNA is filed under the name uncultured bacterium. Its description in RNAcentral is "partial 16S ribosomal RNA". It matches the Rfam family "Bacterial small subunit ribosomal RNA", at positions 29 to 507 of the family's 1533-position model. The record is from RNAcentral.
AGUGAACGCUGGCGGUAGGCCUAACACAUGCAAGUCGAACGGCAGCACAGUAAGAGCUUGCUCUUACGGGUGGCGAGUGGCGGACGGGUGAGGAAUACAUCGGAAUCUACUUUUUCGUGGGGGAUAACGUAGGGAAACUUACGCUAAUACCGCAUACGACCUACGGGUGAAAGCAGGGGAUCUUCGGACCUUGCGCGAUUGAAUGAGCCGAAGUCGGAUUAGCUAGUUGGCGGGGUAAGGGCCCACCAAGGCGACGAUCCGUAGCUGGUCUGAGAGGAUGAUCAGCCACGCUGGAACUGAGACACGGUCCAGACUCCUACGGGAGGCAGCAGUGGGGAAUAUUGGACAAUGGGCGCAAGCCUGAUCCAGCCAUACCGCGUGGGUGAAGAAGGCCUUCGGGUUGUAAAGCCCUUUUGUUGGGAAAGAAAAGCAGCAGGUUAAUACCCCGCUGUUCUGACGGUACCCAAAGAAUAAGCACCGGCUAACUUCGUG